ACCUUCAACAUUCUCAAGUCAAUAGUCCCAACGUCUCCUGCCGUCACCCAGUCUUCGGCUCUCAACUCGACAAAAUUGGCGGCGAAGGAAAAUUGGUUAUCGCCGCCGGAACUUAGUUUACAGAUACCAUGGUUGAGCAAGUUAAGAAAGGAAAUACGAACAACAUAACUUUUAAAGGGCAUGCUACUUUCACUAAUGUAAAGAACAUGCCGAUUAACGAUCAGAUCCAGUUUGAAGUACUGCAAUAGCAUCACCUGAUGUUUGAGACGAUAUGAGGAUAGGUUCAUCCGCAAGCUGAAAGAUUUCGUGUUGAUGAAUUGGUGAUUGGAUUGCCUUAACUAUGUGAAGGGACACAACUGCUAUACACAAAGGUAUUUGCGAGGACUUGAGAUUAUCCCGGACUCGAGCUUCCUCCCUUGAUGAUGGCAUUCAUAAAUUGAAGGAAGAAUGAGGAGGUCAAGGUGAU
Molecule: long non-coding RNA, 466 nt
Organism: Prunus avium (sweet cherry)
Lineage: Eukaryota; Viridiplantae; Streptophyta; Magnoliopsida; Rosales; Rosaceae
Source: RefSeq, a predicted model, not a curated record